This 518-nucleotide ribosomal RNA is filed under the name Pterygia fenestrata. Its description in RNAcentral is "partial 12S ribosomal RNA". Lineage: Eukaryota; Metazoa; Mollusca; Gastropoda; Neogastropoda; Mitridae. The record is from RNAcentral.
AACCAUGGGGUUAAGUUGUAAAUUUACGGUAAAAAGACAGUUAGGCUAAAAGAUAAGUUUAAUUAAUCGUACUAUUAAGGGGUAGAAUCCAAAUAUAGACAGAUAUACUAAUCAAAACUUAAAAGCUGAGGCUGUGAUAACUCUGAGGGAAACUAGGAUUAGAUACCCUAUUAUUCAUAGAUGUAAAUAUGAAAAUUCUACCUGAGUACUAAGAACAAAAAAUUUAAAACUCAAAGGGCUUGGCGGUGUUUUAGACUACUUAGGGGAACCUGUCUCAUAAUCGACAAUCCGCGUCACACCUAACCUCUUUUUGCACUUCAGUUUGUAUACCGUCGUCGCCAGGUAACUUUUAAAAUACAAACAGUUAGCUAAAUGAAUAAUUAAAUUAGGACGUCAGAUCAAGGUGCAGCCAAUAAAGAGGGGUAGAUGGGUUACAAUUAUUUUAAUCAUAACUACGGAUAAUAGCUUUAAAGAGCUAUUGAUAAGGAGGACUUAAAAGUAAAAUAAAUUAUAUAGAC